This 1197-nucleotide long non-coding RNA is filed under the name Salmo salar (Atlantic salmon). RNAcentral's name for it is "lncRNA (ENSSSAG00000105851.1)". Lineage: Eukaryota; Metazoa; Chordata; Actinopteri; Salmoniformes; Salmonidae. The record is from RNAcentral.
AGGGUUAGGAGGUGUUACUAGACAGACAGACAGACAGACAGGUUAGAGUUAGGAGGUGUUACUGAACAGACAGACAGACAGGUUAGGAGGUGUUACUAUACAGACAGACAGACAGGCAGGCAGAAAGACAGGUUAGAGUUAGGAGGUGUUAAUGUACAGACAGACAGACAGGUUAGGAGGUGUUACUAUACAGACAGACAGACAGACAAACAGACAGACAGGUUAGGGUUAGGAGGUGUUACUGAACAGACAGACAGACAGACAGGUUAGGAGGUGUUACUAUACAGACAGACAGACAGACAGGCAGACAGACAGGUUAGAGUUAGGAGGUGUUACUGUACAGACAGACAGACAGGUUAGGGUUAGGAGGUGUUACUGUACAGACAGACAGACAGACAGACAGGUUAGGGUUAGGAGGUGUUACUGUACAGACAGACAGGUUAGGGUUAGGAGGUGUUACUGUACAGACAGACAGACAGACAGACAGACAGGUUAGGGUUAGGAGGUGUUACUAGACAGACAGACAGACAGACAGACAGGUUAGAGUUAAGAGGUGUUACUGAACAGACAGACAGACAGACAGGUUAGGAGGUGUUACUAUACAGACAGACAGACAGACAGGUUAGGGUUAGGAGGUGUUACUGUACAGACUGACAGACAGACAGGUUAGGGUUAGGAGGUGUUACUAUACAGACAGACAGACAGGUUAGGGUUAGGAGGUGUUACUAGACAGACAGACAGACAGACAGACAGACAGACAGACAGACAGACAGACAGACAGGUUAGGAGGUGUUACUAUACAGACAGACAGGCAGGCAGACAGACAGGUUAGAGUUAGGAGGUGUUACUGUACAGAGAGACAGACAGACAGACAGGUUAGAGUUAGUAGGUGUUACUAGACAGACAGACAGGUUAGGGUUAGGAGGUGUUACUAUACAGACAGACAGACAGGUUAGGGUUAGGAGAUGUUACUAGACAGACAGACAGGUUAGAGUUAGGAGGUGUUACUGAAAAGACAGACAGACAGACAGGUUAGGAGGUGUUACUAUACAGACAGACAGACAGACAGGCAGACAGACAGGUUAGGGUUAGGAGGUGUUACUAUACAGACAGACAGUCAGGUUAGGGUUAGGAGGUGUUACUGAACAGACAGACAGACAGGUUAGGAGGUGUUACUAGACAGACAGACAGACAGAC